This 138-nucleotide non-coding RNA is filed under the name Thalassiosira punctigera. Lineage: Eukaryota; Bacillariophyta; Thalassiosirophyceae; Thalassiosirales; Thalassiosiraceae. The record is from RNAcentral.
UCGGAAUCGGUUCCGCCCUCGAGGAUCCCUUUGGGGACGACAUCACCGACCUUCCCAUGGGGAAGUUCUGCGAGGCCAUUGCGGCGCAGGUCGAGGCCGUUUAUCACGAUGAGAUUCCGGUCCUUGUGGGCGGAGGGU